UGUGAGUGAUGAGACGUCUUUCCCUGACAUCUCAGUGAGGGUAAAAGCUGAUUUAAUGAGCCUGAUGC
This 68-nucleotide small nucleolar RNA is filed under the name Amphilophus citrinellus (Midas cichlid). The record is from RNAcentral. Lineage: Eukaryota; Metazoa; Chordata; Actinopteri; Cichliformes; Cichlidae.